UCCUACGGGAGGCAGCAGUGGGGAAUAUUGGACAAUGGGCCACAAGCCCGAUCCAGCAAUUCUGUGUGCACGAUGAAGGUCUUCGGAUUGUAAAGUGCUUUCAGUUGGGAAGAAGAAAGUGACGGUACCAACAGAAGAAGCGACGGCUAAAUACGUGCCAGCAGCCGCGGUAAUA
Molecule: ribosomal RNA, 175 nt
Filed under: uncultured bacterium
Lineage: Bacteria
Description: partial 16S ribosomal RNA
Rfam family: Bacterial small subunit ribosomal RNA
Source: RNAcentral